RNAcentral lists this ribosomal RNA (475 nucleotides) under uncultured bacterium. RNAcentral's name for it is "bacterial SSU rRNA". It matches the Rfam family "Bacterial small subunit ribosomal RNA", at positions 328 to 793 of the family's 1533-position model. The record is from RNAcentral.
CUACUCGACUCCUACGGGAGGCAGCAGUGGGGAAUAUCGCACAAUGGGGGGAAGCCCUGAUGCAGCCAUGCCGCGUGUGUGAAGAAGGCCUUCGGGUUGUAAAGCACUUUCAGUAGGGAGGAAGGUAGUGUAGUUAACACCUGCACUAUUUGACGUUACCUACAGAAGAAGCACCGGCUAACUCCGUGCCAGCAGCCGCGGUAAUACGGAGGGUGCGAGCGUUAAUCGGAAUUACUGGGCGUAAAGCGCAUGCAGGCGGCCUGUUAAGUCAGAUGUGAAAGCCCCGGGGCUUAACCUCGGAAUUGCAUUUGAAACUGGCAGGCUAGAGUCUUGUAGAGGGGGUAGAAUUUCAGGUGUAGCGGUGAAAUGCGUAGAGAUCUGAAGGAAUACCAGUGGCGAAGGCGGCCCCCUGGACAAAGACUGACGCUCAGAUUGCGAAAGCGUGGGGAGCAAACAGGAUUAGAUACCCUGGUAG